RNAcentral lists this unclassified non-coding RNA (231 nucleotides) under Stagonospora sp. Its description in RNAcentral is "partial internal transcribed spacer region". The stretch from base 1 to 46 matches the Rfam family "Eukaryotic small subunit ribosomal RNA", at positions 1786 to 1831 of the family's 1831-position model. Lineage: Eukaryota; Fungi; Ascomycota; Dothideomycetes; Pleosporales; Massarinaceae. The record is from RNAcentral.
AAGUCGUAACAAGGUUUCCGUAGGUGAACCUGCGGAAGGAUCAUUAAUUACGAUAGCAAUAGCCCCUUCGGGGGUUAUCGCACUCACCCUUUGUCUACAAGUACCUCUUGUUGUUUCCUCGGCAGGCUUGCCUGCCGCCAGGAACCUCUUAAACUCUUUGUAUUUAAAGUAUUCAAUCUCUGAUAACUAUUUAAAUUAUCACAACUUUCAACAAUGGAUCUCUUGGUUCUG